Molecule: transfer RNA, 63 nt
Filed under: Auriculastra duplicata
Lineage: Eukaryota; Metazoa; Mollusca; Gastropoda; Ellobiida; Ellobiidae
Description: tRNA-His
Source: RNAcentral
CCAGUGGUAGUUUAUUUAAACCGUGGGCCUGUGGAGCCCGAGACCUAUUUUAUAGUCAUUGGC